GAUGAACGCUGGCGGCGUGCCUAAUACAUGCAAGUCGAGCGAACAGACGAGGAGCUUUCUCCUCUGACGUUAGCGGCGGACGGGUGAGUAACACGUGGAUAACCUACCUAUAAGACUGGGAUAACUUCGGGAAACCGGAGCUAAUACCGGAUAAUAUAUUGAACCGCAUGGUUCAAUAGUGAAAGACGGUUUUGCUGUCACUUAUAGAUGGAUCCGCGCCGCAUUAGCUAGUUGGUAAGGUAACGGCUUACCAAGGCAACGAUGCGUAGCCGACCUGAGAGGGUGAUCGGCCACACUGGAACUGAGACACGGUCCAGACUCCUACGGGAGGCAGCAGUAGGGAAUCUUCGGCAAUGGGCGAAAGCCUGACGGAGCAACGCCGCGUGAGUGAUGAAGGUCUUCGGAUCGUAAAGCUCUGUUAUUAGGGAAGAAGAAAUGUGUAAGUAACUAUGGACGUCUUGACGGUACCUAAUCAGAAAGCCACGGCUAACUACGUG
Molecule: ribosomal RNA, 497 nt
Filed under: uncultured bacterium
Lineage: Bacteria
Description: partial 16S ribosomal RNA
Rfam family: Bacterial small subunit ribosomal RNA
Source: RNAcentral